This is a long non-coding RNA of Leopardus geoffroyi (Geoffroy's cat), 1402 nucleotides long. RefSeq lists it as uncharacterized. Lineage: Eukaryota; Metazoa; Chordata; Mammalia; Carnivora; Felidae. The transcript has 3 exons. The record is from RefSeq and is a predicted model, not a curated record.
GGAGAAGCUGUUCCGAGAGAAGCAGCGGUGUGACCCUGCUCUUGCAGGCAUGUGAUGAAUAUUUCAUAGCCCAGAUGUAAUCCUGUCCACAAUUUUCUCUCCUUCCGGCUCGCCAGCACCCCUCUCCUCACGGUCCUCCACCUCUACCCCACCCCAGUCCCCAACCGUUCCCAAGUCAGGAAAAUCAGUCAAAACAUUUAUCAAGAAUCGGUAUGAACCAGCCAAGCGCUGUGAAGAGCUAAUCUGUGCAGAGCUAAUAAGAAUGAACAAAGUCACCACAGACUUCGCCAUGGGCAUCGCUGAUAAGGAUUUGUCAGAAGAAUUGCAGUCAGUGGAUGGGGAAAAAUCAUUCCUCGGCCACAGAAGGGAUAACUGAGACUCAGAGAAGCAAGUCUAGGACCCUUGGACACUUGUUCCAGAUCAGAAGAGACGCUAUCUGAAGCCGCUCCAAGGAGUUGGAACCUAACGGAAGGAAUGGGAUGGGAGACCUGGCUUCAUUUGAAUUUCCCCCAGAGCUAACAGCCUUCCUCCCAGAGUCCCAGGGAGGGAGGGGCUCAGCCUCACCCAGCGAGGACCGCCCUGAUGUCCACCCACUUGACAGCCAGUUAGGACAGCCCACCCCUCUGGCCCACCUCCUGGAAAGUGGGCAUAACUUCAGGUUGAACCCGAAAUGUAAAUAUCCUAAUUGGCAUCUUAUUAGUACAAGCAGAAAAGCCCAUUGUUAUGGAAGAGAAAUCUCCCAAUCCCCCACCAAUUAAUCUUUAGCUACACGAGGCUCGUGCUCACCAUAUCAAUGGGAGCUGGGGCUCAGGAGUGAGCUGCGGAAGAGAGGACAGUGACAGCAGCAUGUGUGACUGCAGAAUCUCCGAGCUGGAGAACACCGUCGUCAUGGGGUUAAUAGUCUGGCCACCCCCUGGGGAGUGUCCCUUUGGUGAGAACAUCUGCUGGUGGUCCAUCCACAGGGAGGCUGCCGUGGAGGAGAGGACACGGGUGGUGGAGGAUUGUGGUGGACGUUUGUUUUGUUCUUUCCUUUGUGGGGCCUCUGCAGCAUCGAGCUGCUUUGCUAGUCGUGUGGGGAUUCCCCGUCAUUUGAGUCGUGGCGGGAGGCAGACUGUGCUUUCCUCUGAAGGAAUGGAAAAUUCCCACUACUUGCUUUCCAAGCAGGGCUCACAUAUGCCCCAGGCUGGGCCAAUCUGGCGCUCCCACUCUCAGCUGACCGACCCAGGAGGCAGAUGGUGGCAGGGACGUGUGAUUCCAGGGAUGGCCACUAGUGAGAUUGCUGGUCCCAUCCGUGGGGUAGGAGUUCUAUUCUGUGAUCCGAUUUUGCUGGUGCUCCUGGCCGCAAAGUCUAUCUUCCCUUUACCCAUUUUCUUUCUUUAAAAAAAAUUUUUAAGUUUAUUUU